Molecule: ribosomal RNA, 305 nt
Filed under: uncultured bacterium
Lineage: Bacteria
Description: partial 16S ribosomal RNA
Rfam family: Bacterial small subunit ribosomal RNA
Source: RNAcentral
UUUCGCCUACGGGGGGCAGCAGUGGGGGAUAUUGCACAAUGGGGGGAACCCUGAUGCAGCGACGCCGCGUGGGUGAAGAAGUAUUUCGGUAUGUAAAGCCCUAUCGGCAGGGAAGAAAUUGGACGGUACCUGACUAAGAAGCCCUGGCUAACUACGUGCCAGCAGCCGCGGUAAUACGUAGGGGGCAAGCGUUAUCCGGAAUUUCUGGGUGUAAAGGGAGCGUAGACGGUGAUGCAAGUCUGGAGUGAAAGGCGGGGGCCCAACCCCCGGCCUGCUCUGGAAACUGUAUGACUUGAGUGCAGGAG